This is a long non-coding RNA of Homo sapiens (human), 329 nucleotides long. RefSeq lists it as uncharacterized. Lineage: Eukaryota; Metazoa; Chordata; Mammalia; Primates; Hominidae. The record is from RefSeq and is a predicted model, not a curated record. The transcript is spliced from 3 exons.
AGCUAGCCACCCCCUAAGCCCACCCAACCUCAGCCAGCAGGCAACCUCCUGGGUCCCUGUUCCAUGCUGUGGAAGCUUUGUUGAAGACAGAAGAACACCACCCAGCUGGGAAAUAGGACAUAUAUACAACAUAAGAGCUGAGGACUCAGGACAGCAUUGCCUGGAGGGGCUGCAGGGAAGAGGUGUCUCCUGCACCUCCUGAGGCCUGAGCUACAGCCCUGGAGAGGCCUGAACCCCCACCUCAGCUGCUUGACCUGAGGGAAAACGAGGUGGCCUGGGUCAUCUAGGGACUUGACAGCCAGAAGAAGAGCGGAGUGCAUGUGAGUACC